GCUGGGAUAACUCAGUUGGUGGAGCACAAGACUCUUAAUCUUGGAGCCGUGGGUUCAAGCCCCUCGUUGGGCA
This is a non-coding RNA of Podarcis lilfordi (Lilford's wall lizard), 73 nucleotides long. Lineage: Eukaryota; Metazoa; Chordata; Lepidosauria; Squamata; Lacertidae. The record is from the annotation of a GenBank genome assembly.